AUUGAACGCUGGCGGCAGGCCUAACACAUGCAAGUCGAGCGGAUGAGAGGAGCUUGCUUCUCGAUUCAGCGGCGGACGGGUGAGUAAUGCCUAGGAAUCUGCCUGGUAGUGGGGGACAACGUUUCGAAAGGAACGCUAAUACCGCAUACGUCCUACGGGAGAAAGCAGGGGACCUUCGGGCCUCGCGCUAUCAGAUGAGCCUAGGUCGGAUUAGCUAGUUGGUGAGGUAAUGGCUCACCAAGGCGGCGAUCCGUAACUGGUCUGAGAGGAUGAUCAGUCACACUGGAACUGAGACACGGUCCAGACUCCUACGGGAGGCAGCAGUGGGGAAUAUUGGACAAUGGGCGAAAGCCUGAUCCAGCCAUGCCGCGUGUGUGAAGAAGGUCUUCGGAUUGUAAAGCACUUUAAGUUGGGAGGAAGGGUUGUAGAUUAAUACUCUGCGAUUUUGACGUUACCGACAGAAUAAGCACCGGCUAACUCUGUGCCAGCCGCCGCAGUAA
This 500-nucleotide ribosomal RNA is filed under the name uncultured bacterium. RNAcentral describes it as "partial 16S ribosomal RNA". It matches the Rfam family "Bacterial small subunit ribosomal RNA", at positions 30 to 523 of the family's 1533-position model. The record is from RNAcentral.